UUCUGUCACCGCAGCAACAAGGGAAGUGCCCAAGAAGGAAGAAUCAAAUACCAAUUGUGACUUCCUUGGCCCGGAUUUCCCCUGCGCUGAGUGAGUUACGAGGAGUACCAGGGAAUCGAAGAAGAUAGCCAAAAAGUUGAAGGAAGCAAAGGGGUUGAGCAAGCAAGAAGAACAGGUAUGUGGAGGUAAGUAGUUUGUUAUGGUUCUGUUAUGCCUUCAUCACCCAAUUUACAGACUACUUAUAUCCGAUCAAUAUGGGCCAAUUACAAUCCACGGCCAAUACGGCACAAUUUCACAAUACUAUGACCACCCUGAGUGAUGCACAUGCGUGACAGGAUGGCGGUGGCGAACUGGCGAGAUGGAGAAAAGGGAAGGCGGCAGGGGAUUAGGAGCCAGGAUGGAAACCACCGCCGUGGUUUUCCCCAACGCACACGGACCUGGCUGGUUCCUUCGGCUUCGAUCGAAGUGAAGCCACCGCUUCCAUGUUAGAAACGAUUUCUUGCUUUUUCCUCUCUUUCUUCGAUGGAUAAACACGGCGCCAUAUGAGCAAAGUUUAAUAAUUAGAUUGGCACAUAGUAAAGUUAAAGAAAGAAAUAGAGAUAUAAUAAUAAAUAGACGUAGUAACCAUGGUGGCAUCUGCUUUGUGAAUUUGUGAGUGCCCUAAGUAUUUUUUUGUAUUUUUUUAUCAUAUUAUCCUAUUACCUAGAAUCAACACACAACAGCAGGAACAUACCUUAAGACACGAUUUCUUUGCAUUUUUUUUAGGAAUUAGAAUCUAACUAAUGAAGUAGACUAAUUUUUAGAACGUGGCAUUCUAUAACUUUUCAAAGUUUAUAUAUAAGUCUAUCUUAAAUUCAUGGGGUAAGAAAUGUAAGAAAUGGAAAUUGAUUAUAUAGAUUUAUAUGCUACUUUUCUAAUAUACAACUUAUUGCAAACUCUUUUACUUGCUUCUCUAUAAUAUAAAUGUAGUUUAUAAUUAUCUAUCUCAUAUGAUUUAGGAUAAUAUACAAGUAUAUUACAUAGAGAAAUAUAUUAACUCAACUAGUUUUGUCUAAAUUAUAGACAAAUUAUAGUUAUUAGAAUGGAAUUCAAUUCCAACUAAACAAACAGUGCCUAAGAGAAAUAGGCCUGACUGACAACAUUAUUGAUUUGAUGCCUCGACUGCAUUAAUGUUAAGAGUAAAAUCAUAAUGCAUUGCCAGCGAACUGGAGAAACAUAUUUCAGUAGCAUAAGCAAAAGCUAUUAGAUAUGUCAAAGAUCAAAUGGGCACUCCCUUUAUUUCAACAGAUCCAUGCAGUUCAAAUUGUACAUUUGCAAUUCAGUACACAUCAGACUGCUAGAAAAAAAUUCAUGAUUUGCAUCAUUUAUUCUUUUUAACAGAAAACAUCACAUGUAUAGUUAUUGUGAUGACAUGUGCCAUGAAGAAUGACACUGGGGGAGCGCCAUUUGCGUCUCACUCUACUUGAUGCAGUUGCUGCAAGACAUUAUCAUCAGA
Molecule: long non-coding RNA, 1495 nt
Filed under: Zea mays
Lineage: Eukaryota; Viridiplantae; Streptophyta; Magnoliopsida; Poales; Poaceae
Description: long non-coding RNA (ZMAY_LNC004378)
Source: RNAcentral